RNA transcript from Rosa chinensis, 3597 nucleotides. It is a transcript of the gene named copper-transporting ATPase PAA2, chloroplastic, with no coding region annotated. The record is from RefSeq and is a predicted model, not a curated record. The transcript is spliced from 19 exons. Lineage: Eukaryota; Viridiplantae; Streptophyta; Magnoliopsida; Rosales; Rosaceae.
AAUAAUCUUUCAGAAUUCAACGACCACCUCUACCUUCCUCACCCCUUCUUCAUCGAUCCUCUCUUCUCUCUAUCACAAUCACAAUCACAAUCACAAUCAGAUCUCUCUAAUCUCUCUCUCAAAGCUUCCUUUAUUUUCCGAUGAUGAAUACUAUUCUCAAUAUCAGAGCCUCUCUCUCGCCGGACCCGAAGCUCUUGUUCAGCUACACCACCAACUCCAAUGUCGACCGCUUCGCCUUCAACUUCAAGCCUCACCUCCCGAUACGCCGUCGUUUCCCUCAUCGCCGUCAUCUCCGGCAGCAGUCUAACCCUAAUUUCACUCUCUCCAGCUGCCUGCAGGCCGCCGCGGCCCCAAAUCAUAUCGCCACGGCGGCGGCGCCGAUUCAGGAGGAGGCGUCGGUGCUGCUCGACGUCUCCGGGAUGAUGUGCGGCGGCUGCGUGUCGCGAGUCAAGUCGGUGCUGUCUGCGGACGACCGAGUCCACUCCGUGGCGGUCAACAUGUUGACCGAGACGGCGGCGAUUAAGCUGAGGCCGGAGGUUGAAGGUGGAGCGCAGGCCGUGGCGGAGAGCUUGGCCGGAAGGUUGACGGAGUGCGGAUUUGCGGCGAGGAGGAGGGCUUCCGGGGUGGGAGUGACGGAGAGUGUGAGGAAGUGGAAGGAGAUGGCGAAGAAGAAGGAGGAGAUGCUGGUGAAGAGUAGGAACCGAGUCAUUUUGGCUUGGACUCUGGUGGCCUUGUGCUGUGGAUCACACGCUUCCCACAUUUUGCAUUCUCUGGGAAUUCACAUUGCUCAUGGAUCGUAUAUGGAUGUGCUCCAUAAUUCGUAUGUGAAGGGUGGUUUGGCCAUGGCAGCUUUGUUGGGACCCGGACGAGACUUGCUUUUUGAUGGUUUGAGGGCUUUCAAAAAAGGAUCACCCAAUAUGAAUUCUCUCGUGGGAUUUGGAUCCCUGGCUGCUUUUACAAUUAGUGCGGUCUCUCUUCUUAACCCUGAACUUCAAUGGGAUGCAGCCUUCUUUGAUGAGCCGGUCAUGCUUCUUGGUUUUGUGCUCCUAGGACGUUCUCUUGAAGAAAGGGCAAGGAUCAGGGCAUCUAGUGAUAUGAACGAACUCUUGUCACUGAUAAACACUCAAUCAAGACUUAUAAUUGCAUCCUCAGAAAAUGAUUCCUCCAGUGACACUGUACUUGGCUCCGAUGCAAUUUGCAUUGAGGUCCCAACUGAUGAUGUUCGUGUGGGAGAUUCUGUUUUGGUAUUGCCAGGAGAAACUAUACCCGUGGAUGGAAGAGUUCUGGCUGGAAGAAGUGUUGUGGAUGAGUCCAUGCUCACAGGAGAAUCGCUUCCUGUAUUUAAGGAAAAAGAACUUACCGUCUCAGCUGGAACAAUAAAUUGGGAUGGUCCUCUGAGAAUUGAAGCAACUUCAACUGGCUCCAAUUCAAUGAUUUCCAAGAUUGUUCGCAUGGUUGAGGAUGCUCAAGGCCAUGAAGCACCAAUUCAAAGGCUUGCUGAUUCAAUAGCUGGACCUUUUGUAUACACUAUAAUGACUCUCUCAGCUACAACAUUUGCUUUUUGGUACUACAUUGGAACUCAUAUUUUUCCUGAUGUUUUGCUCAAUGAUAUUGCUGGGCCAGAUGGAGAUUCAUUGCUGUUGAGCUUGAAACUAGCUGUGGAUGUCUUGGUAGUUUCUUGCCCUUGUGCACUGGGUCUUGCAACACCCACAGCAAUCCUAGUUGGCACUUCUCUUGGAGCAAGGCAAGGACUCCUUGUGAGAGGAGCAGAUGUAUUGGAACGCUUGGCCAGUAUAGAUCAUAUUGCUUUAGACAAGACAGGAACCCUCACUGAAGGAAAACCUGCUGUUUCUAGCAUUGCUUCUUUCAAGUAUAAAGACUCGGAAAUUCUUCAAAUAGCUGCUGCUGUAGAGAGUACAGCAUCACAUCCAAUUGCUGAUGCUAUCUUAAACAAAGCCAAAUCAUUGGAGUUGAGUAUCCCAGUCACAAAAAGGCAAUUAACCGAACCGGGUUUUGGAACAUUAGCAGAAGUAGAUGGCCUUUUAGUUGCAGUGGGUUCUUUGGAAUGGGUUCAUGAGCGUUUCCAGAGAAGAACAGAUCGAUCUGACAUUUCAAAACUAGAGCAUGCUGUGCACCAAUCAUCAGAAGGCAUAACACCCUCAAAUUAUUCAAAAACAAUUGUAUAUGUUGGACGUGAAGGGGAAGGUAUCAUCGGUGCUAUUGCAAUAUCCGACAGCCUGCGGGAAGAUGCUGAGUUUACUGUAACUAGACUCCAGCAGAAGGGUAUCAGAACUGUCCUGUUUUCUGGGGACAGGGAAGAGGCAGUUGCAACUAUAGCAAAAUCAGUUGGAAUAGAAAAGGAAUUUAUCAAGUCAUCAUUGACUCCACAGGGAAAAUCUGGAGCCAUUUCUAGUCUUAAAGCUGCAGGGCAUCAUGUUGCAAUGGUUGGUGAUGGCAUAAAUGAUGCACCUUCUUUGGCUCUUGCCGACGUUGGGAUUGCUCUUCAGAUUGAGGGACAAGAAAAUGCUGCUUCAAAUGCUGCGUCGAUUAUACUACUUGGAAACAAAUUAUCACAAGUUGUAGAUGCACUGGAACUUGCACAGGCAACAAUGGGAAAAGUGUAUCAAAAUUUAUCUUGGGCUGUUGCGUACAACGUAAUUGCCAUCCCCAUUGCUGCUGGAGUACUGCUUCCUCAAUACGAUUUUGCCAUGACACCCUCACUUUCUGGUGGGAUGAUGGCCUUGAGCUCGAUAUUUGUAGUAACCAACUCUUUGCUUCUACAGCUUCAUAAGUCUGAAAGUGCUAGGAAGAAUUAGCUCCGGACAAACGUCCCACCACCAGCCGACACUCAUUUAAUUUCUUACUUAAUAGUAGAGCCCCAGACCAGACUGCAAGGGUUUCAAGCCUAUUGGCGGUGUCAAUUUGAAAUCGUUAAGCCUGGUGGUUUAGAAGACGGUGACUUCACGUGUCUUCGUCUAUGGCCGAGUGCGGAGUCAUGCUUGGUGGUCAACAGGGUUCAUUUCUUUGCUUACCAGUGGUGUUCCAGGUCGGAUCUGGUUCGGGUUAUUCAUCUUGUUUUUCAUUGUAGUCUAGAGCUUUGCUAAAAUAGGGUGCUUUUGCCGCCCUCAAUAGUUAACGAGUUUGGUGGGUCUUAACUCUUUAAGGAGUUAGUGGAGGUUCCUCAUUUCCUCCCAAGCUUAUUUACUUGUCGAAGUGCCUCUAUGAGAUUUCGCAACACUAAUAACUAUUUUCGUGCCACAAUUGCUCCUUAGGCGAAUUAGGUUGGUAAUACGAUUUUCUUCCUUCGACUUUCUCGGGGAAAAAUGAUUCUAUGAUAUGAUUGAUAUCCAUCUUCUCUGAUAUAAGACUGAGAAUCUGAGAAAUGGUUCAGCAGCAGGAGGCCAAGUCUGGUAUUGAGAACAAUGGAGAAUGAUAUGUAUGGCCCCCUUGCAAACAUUAUUGUACACAUUUAAUGGGCAUGUGAGAGAGAACUAUUGCAGACGAGGGGAUUUCAUGCUAUAACGCUUUGCAUGUGAUUGGGGGCCCAACAUCCUCCUCCCUUUUCUGGGUUAUAGACCUGGGAGCAGUGUUAAUUUC